Molecule: non-coding RNA, 498 nt
Organism: Pelobates cultripes (western spadefoot toad)
Lineage: Eukaryota; Metazoa; Chordata; Amphibia; Anura; Pelobatidae
Source: the annotation of a GenBank genome assembly
GUGAAAUUAGGUUAAUGAAGAAAGAAUAUUUCUGCCAAAUUCAGUAGAUUUUUGGGUUCUCACAUCCAAUGCAUAAGGAAGGUAUUAGCUGAUGCCCAAGUGGCUGCUCUGCAAAUGCUAUCAGUUGGAGUGUUAGUUGCAGCUGCUCAAGAAGAUGGCGUUGAGCUAGUAGAGUGUGCCCUCAACCCAGAUGAAACGGGAACUAAUUAAGCCUGAUAAGCAGCCGAAAUAGCCAAAGUGAUCCAUCUACUUAGAGUUGACUUUAAAGCUGGCAUUCCCCUGUUAUGACCUGAAAAGUUUACAAAAAGCCUGGAAGAUUGUCUCUACUCAGCAGUUUUAGAUAAAUAAAUAGUAAGACAUCUGGCAACAUCAAGCGGGUGCCAUAUUUCCUCUUCUUGAUUCCUGGCAUCUUGAAAAAAGUAAGGCAAUAUAAUCUCCUCAUUAAGAUGGAAAUUUGAGAUUACCUUUGGCCUAAAUUCCGGAAUUGUUCGAAGAACC